This 433-nucleotide ribosomal RNA is filed under the name uncultured bacterium. Its description in RNAcentral is "partial 16S ribosomal RNA". It matches the Rfam family "Bacterial small subunit ribosomal RNA", at positions 29 to 507 of the family's 1533-position model. The record is from RNAcentral.
AACGAACGCUGGCGGCAUGCCUAACACAUGCAAGUCGAACGAGACCUUCGGGUCUAGUGGCGCACGGGUGCGUAACGCGUGGGUACCUGCCCUUCGGUUCGGAAUAACUCCCCGAAAGGGGUGCUAAUACCGGAUAAUGUCUUCGGACCAAAGAUUUAUCGCCUUUGGAUGGGCCCGCGUUGGAUUAGCUAGUUGGUAGGGUAAAGGCCUACCAAGGCGACGAUCCAUAGCUGGUCUGAGAGGAUGAUCAGCCACACUGGGACUGAGACACGGCCCAGACUCCUACGGGAGGCAGCAGUGGGGAAUAUUAGACAAUGGGCGAAAGCCUGAUCCAGCCAUGCCGCGUGAGUGAUGAAGGCCUUAGGGUUGUAAAGCUCUUUUACCCGGGAUGAUAAUGACAGUACCGGGAGAAGAAGCUCCGGCUAACUCCGUG